UCGGGCUCGGUCGCUACGUAGUGACGACACGUGUCCCGUUUCUUCCAAACCCAGAGCUUCAUUAAUCUGAAUUCGGAUGGGCUUGUUUCUUAGCAUAUAUGGGCUUUGUGAAUUUGUUACUUGUUGGGCUUCCUUUUUCAGAAAAUGACACCUCCGUUUUCCUCUUCUCUUCGCGUCGCCAAAAAACGUUUUUUUUUUUUACGAAAGCUCGAUCAUUCAUCUAACCGGCGUCGAAUCUCCAUCUGUAAUACGUGAACCCAUUGUUUCUGGCGAUAGCCUGUUAGAACUCGGCGGUGGUGUCUUUUGAUUGACUUCCAACUCACCUAUAAAUAAAUUCUUGGAAACGUUACGAGAAUCAGUUCAUCCAAUCGUCGUCUUUAACGCCCUCAUCAACAACAUCUCCCACUCUUCACACGAUCUAUCAUUCAAUGUAUCCCCAUUAUUGCUAUUGUGUGAAUCACCACUAUAAAUAGACUUGAGGGAUGGGCCAUUGGACCACCACCGUGGAGGUCCGCCUAUUUUGGGAGGCUAGUAUGGUUGUUGUAUCUCCACCGUCGAGGUCCGCCUCCUAAGGUUCAGGAAUGUGAAUGCUCCUCCUCGAAGCAAAGGCGGUGGAGACUGCAACAGCGGUGUUAGAACGACCAGACAGCAAGUCGGAUAGAUUUUACUGUACAGUGAUCGUUAAGUUUAUAUUCUUUGGAACUUGCAAGUAAAGGAAUGAUGGUUUGACCAAUCGAAGUUCGGGUGAGUCUAGAGCUAACUCAUCCACGAGUACCACAUAAUAUGUUGGUGUGAAGAAAAUUGAGUCCAUAAUGGUGUCCGAGCUAAAUGCACACGUUCUCAAUUCUCCUCUGCAUGUAUAAACCGUUUCUGGUCCACCCUCCUAUAAGUUAACAUAUCUUUUGAGUUAGUAACGUAUUUAGCUGCAUUACUCAAUAGAAUGAUGAGUUUCUCUGCAUGAACAAAGUUGAGAGCAUUGAGACAUGUAUUAGCAUGUAACAUCCAAAGACAACUAUAAUAUAGACAAUUUUUUUUGUUCUUUGUUAAUAACUAUUUUGAUCACCAACCAUUUCUGAAAAUUACAGUAUUGUGCAAAUACGAUUAUGUUAUUCGAAAAUAAAUAAUUAGUUAUAUAUUUGCAAAUACGAUGUGGAACGAGGAGAAACAAAAGAUUUUGAAAGAUAAAUUUUCUAAGCCCUUAAAAGUUAUAAAUUUAAUGGUUCUAAACCAAAAUAAAAUUCAAAGCAAAUGAAUAGUUUUACUCUAACUAUUUAAAAUUCAAAGCAAGAAAACUAAAAUAAUGAUUCAUACUAAUAUAGAACAAAAGAUUUUAAAAUAAAAACAAAUAUUAAACAAAAAUCAAAAAUAUUUACUCAAACUAUUUAAAUUAUUUUAAAAUUAUCAUCCCGCCCGUAGGGCGGGCCGAUCCUAGUUUCAUAUAUAUUUUAGUCAUAUUAGGUAAUUCUAUAACUUUAAUUUAAGAAAAGAAAGAAGAAUAUUUUUAUAGAUUUCAAAUUAAUUUUAUGGUUAGUUUAAUAAAAAGGCUUUUUGCAAAAUUGACUCAAAACUCAAAGUCAACCACAAAACUAACUUACGUUUUUUUUUAACAUUUCUUUUUCCUUAUUCACCCUACAAGUUCAGAUUAUUCCUGAAAAUGCCUUAAUUUUUGUUUUCUUUUCGAAAAUGGCUGUUUUACUCUCUCAAUCUCAUCAUCUUCAAGUAUUUACAAGAUUACCAUUGCUAUCAAUACACCAACCACCAUGAACAAUCCACUUGAAGCUCUUAAUGCACCUCAAAUCGAUUUACACUUUUUCUUUCUUAAUUCUUAUGAAAUAAAAACAACAUAUCUUUCACUUUCUCUCAAUAUUCAUCCAAAAAAUUCAAGAUUUUGAUUCUAAAUUUUUUAUGGUCGAACCAUUGAAGCUUACGAUUCUUGGUGGGUCAUUUUUGUUUGAGAUUCUGGAUGCUCGGAGAAGACUUAUGUGUGCUAAACAAGUUAUCUCACUGGUUGAAACUAUGAAAUCAGUUUUUUAUGCAGAUCUAUUCACCCAGACGACUUUUGGGUAACUCUUAUGGCUGUAGACGACUUACAUGAAAGUCUUCUAGUCAAUGCAGAGGUUAAUUUUGCAAUUGACUUUAAAUGUGUUUUUAGAGACGACUUACAUGGACGUCGUCCAUCUAUAUUUGUUAAAAAAAAAUUUGAGAUGACUUCCAUGUAAGCCGUCUAGGGUAAACGGAUUAGUUUUGCAUUUGACCGGAUUGUGUCAGAAAUUUGAGUUUUCUGGACGACUUAUCCAUAAGUCGUCCAAUAUAAAAUUAAAAAAAAAAUAUUUUGUUUUAUCUAGACGACUUCUAUGUAAGUAGUCUCAUGUAAGUUUUGCAACUGAAAAAUCAAACAUAAAAAUUUAUUUUUUUCUUGACGAAUUACACGGAAGUUGUCAGUUAGACGACUUACACGAAAGUCGUCAAUGAUUUUAUUCAGAGAUUCUGGUCAAACCUUGCUUAUCUUGGACGACUUCCGUGUAAGUCGUCUAGAAAAAAUAUAUAUAUAUUUUUUUAUCUUUCAAUUGCAAAACUAACCUGAAACGACUUACAUGGAACUCGUCUAAGUAAAACAAAAUAUUGAUUUUUUAAUUUUUUACUGGACGACUUAUGUGUAAGUCGUCUAGUAAAAGUCAAAUUUCUGACACAAUCCGGUCAAAUGCAAAACUAACUCGUUUACCCUAGACGGCUUACAUGGAAGAAGUGGUCUCGGUUUUUUUUAACAAACAAAGAUGGACGACUUCAAUGUAAGUCGUCUAGGUUAAAAAUCAAUUUCAAAACUAACCCAAAUGGACGACUUCUUAGAAAGACGACCUUCGUGGAAAUCGUCUGCGUCAAUGUUUAAUAAACUUUCAUUUUCUCUAAAAUUAUAAAGACUUUUUAAUAUUUUUUUGUUAAUUCAUUUAUAUUAUUCGAUAUUUGAGCUCUUUGAAUAAAAUUCAUAACUUAAUUGGUUUUAAUUAUGUUUUUACCGAUAUUCAUGUGUAUUAUUGUUUCCAGAAGACUUGUCAAAAAAAUUUAAAAUUAUUUAUAAAUUACUUUUAAGAUCAAUUAUACCAGAAAACUUCCAUGGCUGUCGUCUAGACGACAUGCAUUAUCUUAGAAGACUCAAAAGACUUUUUGGGGCUAUAUUCGUAAAAAUGAGUUUUGUUUUCUUGUUUGGUCACAAGGGGCUGAUUGUAAUUUCACAAGGCUUUUGGGUUACUUUUGCAUUUGAUUCAAAUUUGAGUAUACUUUUGUAAUCAAAGUUAAGUUUUGAGUCAUAUUUGACAAAUUUUUUUUAACAAAAAGUAUAAUAUACAUCUGUAUGGACUAAUUUAUUUUUCUAAGGAUUGUAAAAGUCAUUUUAGUGACGAUACAUGGUAAUACUUAAAUAUUAUAAUGCUUCUAUUUUAAUAUAUACCGGCAGAGCUUUCUAUAAAUAUUUUCUAUUUUGGUGAAACCAUAAAAAUUGUGAUUUGGAGACUUGGGUCUCUUUAUGACUUCGUUGACGUAAGCCUUGCGGCGUUGGAUAAUAUAUUAUAUAUGUAUUUAGGUUAUCAAUUAGUAAGAACGUGCAACUUACACUUUGUAGUAUGACUACUAACCAUCAAUCAUGUGGACACAUGAUUAUUUACAUUUCAACAAAU
Brassica rapa (field mustard) is the source of this 3671-nucleotide long non-coding RNA. RefSeq lists it as uncharacterized. Lineage: Eukaryota; Viridiplantae; Streptophyta; Magnoliopsida; Brassicales; Brassicaceae. The record is from RefSeq and is a predicted model, not a curated record.